GAACGCACAUUGCGCCCGCCAGUAUUCUGGCGGGCAUGCCUGUUCGAGCGUCAUUUCAACCCUCAAGCCCCCGGGCUUGGUGUUGGAGAUCGGCGUGCCCUCCGGGGCGCGCCGGCUCCCAAAUAUAGUGGCGGUCUCGCUGUAGCUUCCUCUGCGUAGUAGCACACCUCGCACUGGAAAACAGCGUGGCCACGCCGUUAAACCCCCCACUUCUGAAAGGUUGACCUCGGAUCAGGUAGGAAUACCCGCUGAACUUA
RNAcentral lists this unclassified non-coding RNA (257 nucleotides) under Ilyonectria mors-panacis. Its description in RNAcentral is "sequence contains 5.8S rRNA gene". The stretch from base 1 to 53 matches the Rfam family "5.8S ribosomal RNA", at positions 102 to 154 of the family's 154-position model. Lineage: Eukaryota; Fungi; Ascomycota; Sordariomycetes; Hypocreales; Nectriaceae. The record is from RNAcentral.